RNAcentral lists this unclassified non-coding RNA (248 nucleotides) under Glomus sp. Its description in RNAcentral is "partial contains 5.8S ribosomal RNA and internal transcribed spacer 2". The stretch from base 1 to 65 matches the Rfam family "5.8S ribosomal RNA", at positions 84 to 154 of the family's 154-position model. Lineage: Eukaryota; Fungi; Glomeromycota; Glomeromycetes; Glomerales; Glomeraceae. The record is from RNAcentral.
GUGAAUCAUCGAAUUUUUGAACGCAAAUUGCACUCUCUUCGGAGAGUAUGCCUGUUUGAGGGUCAGCCUAAAAAAAAAAUCGACAUAGUCGCUGUUUCGCGGUGACAUUCGUCGGAAAUUGGGUCAUCUUAAACCUUUGGGUUUUAAGUGGCUUAAAAUUUUCUCUACGAUUCCACGGACGUUUCUAAUAUUUACUUCUUAUACGUUUAAGGUAUCGAUCUUUAUUAUACGGUACCGCUUCAUCGAAC